RNAcentral lists this ribosomal RNA (253 nucleotides) under uncultured bacterium. RNAcentral's name for it is "partial 16S ribosomal RNA". It matches the Rfam family "Bacterial small subunit ribosomal RNA", at positions 524 to 776 of the family's 1533-position model. The record is from RNAcentral.
UACAUAGGGUGCGAGCGUUAAUCGGAAUUACUGGGCGUAAAGGGUGUGUAGGUGGCUAGGUAAGUUAGAUGUGAAAUCCCCGGGCUUAGCCUGGGACCUGCGUUUAAAACUGUUUAGCUAGAGUAUUGCAGAGGAUAGUGGAAUUUCCAGUGUAGCGGUGAAAUGCGUAGAUAUUGGAAGGAACACCAGUGGCGAAGGCGACUAUCUGGGCAAAUACUGACACUGAGACACGAAAGCGUGGGGAGCAAACAGG